AUCAUGAACUUAUUAGUUGUUAUCAUAUAUUUUUUGAGAGAAAACUAGUAUAUUAUUCGUUUCACUUAAAUCUUUUAAAAAAUAAAUUUAGCUGGGAAUACAAACCAAUUAGGUUUCAAAUUUGAGACUUUGUGUAUCAACUAUUAAAUCCUUUGACUGACCAUCUCUAGCACAACUGGCAAAGAACUUGGCAGUUGGUACCCGAGAUUUUAAGUUAAAAUUCAAGUUGAUUCACAUUUCUAACUAAGUUUAUUUUUAAAUUAAAUAAACGAAGCGAGUAAUAUGCUACCUAUCUCUCUAAAAAAAAAAACUAUUAAAUCCUUUGUCUCUUGCAUUAGGAUGGUUGGUCACGUGUAGUUGUUAUUGG
This 367-nucleotide long non-coding RNA is filed under the name Ananas comosus (pineapple). RNAcentral's name for it is "long non-coding RNA (ACOM_LNC011318)". The record is from RNAcentral. Lineage: Eukaryota; Viridiplantae; Streptophyta; Magnoliopsida; Poales; Bromeliaceae.